Molecule: RNA transcript, 5874 nt
Organism: Peromyscus californicus insignis
Lineage: Eukaryota; Metazoa; Chordata; Mammalia; Rodentia; Cricetidae
Gene: Pdzd7
Gene name: PDZ domain containing 7
Exons: 10
Source: RefSeq, a predicted model, not a curated record
UGGUGGGUGACUCGGUUGAGAGCGGCAGUGAAAGGUGAAAGAGAAACACCCCAACGGCCUCAUAGAAAAAGCCCCCCAAAUCCAAGAUGGUUCUGAACUGAGCAGAUUUCCUCUGGCCCCAGGGUGGGAGAGAUUUGGAACCCACACUUCUGAGACGCAUUGAGACUGAGGGCUUCCAUCUGCCUCCCUGAGACUCCAGCCCUACAGAGAACAUGGAGCCUGGGACGUCAGCAGCCAACCUCUGGAGGACAAGCAGACUCCAUCUGGACCUGUAGGGCACUGCCCCCAGCCUCACCACCAUGGCACGUGGUUUCACAGUGGGCUUUGACCCAUUGGGUCUAGGAGAACUCAGCUCUGGUUCUCUGAGCUCCCUCUCCUCCCGAGGCCACCUGGGCAGCGACCCAGGCUCCACAGCAACACGAUACUUGCUGAGGAAGCAGCAGCGCCUGCUGAAUGGGCCCCCCCGCGGAAUCCGAGCCUCAUCACCCAUGGGCCGAGUCAUCCUCAUCAACUCCCCCAUUGAAGCCAACAGUGAUGAAAGUGACAUCAUCCAUGCAGUUCGGGUGGAGAAGAGCCCCUCUGGGAGGCUAGGUUUCAGCGUGAGAGGCGGCUCCGAGCAUGGCCUGGGCAUCUUCGUCAGCAGGGUGGAGGAGGGGAGCAGUGCAGAGCGGGCUGGCCUGUGUGUGGGGGACAAGAUCACGGAGGUGAAUGGGCUGAGUCUAGAAAGUACCACGAUGGGCAGUGCUGUGAGGCUGCUGACCAGCAGCAGCUGCCUGCACAUGAUGGUGCGGCGCAUGGGCCGUGUGCCUGGCAUCAAGUUCUCCAAGGAGAAGACCACGUGGGUGGAUGUAGUGAACCGGCGGCUAGUGGUGGAGAAGUGCAGUUCCACACCAUCGGACAGCAGCUCAGAAGACGGUGUGCGGCGUAUCGUCCACCUCUACACAACCUCUGACGACUUCUGCCUAGGCUUCAACAUCCGCGGGGGCAAGGAGUUUGGCCUGGGCAUCUAUGUAUCUAAAGUGGAUCACGGUGGGCUGGCUGAGGAGAAUGGCAUUAAAGUGGGAGACCAGGUCCUGGCGGCCAAUGGGGUCAGGUUCGAUGACAUCAGCCACAGCCAGGCCGUGGAGGUGCUGAAGGGCCAAACGCACAUAAUGCUGACCAUCAAGGAGACGGGCCGGUACCCUGCCUACAAAGAGAUGGUUUCUGAGUACUGCUGGCUGGACAGAUUGAGCAGUGGGGUGCUGCAGCAGCUGUCCCCAGCCUCGGAGAGUGGCUCCAGUGUCUCCUCCUACGCCUCCAGUGCCCCGUGCAGCUCAGGCUCACUACCCUCUGACCGCAUGGACGUCUGCCUAGGGCCCGAGGAGCCCGGUGGCCAUGGCCCAGGCUGGGGGCGGGCAGACACGGCCAUGCAGACUGAGCCUGAUAUGGGCAGCCGAGUGGAAACUUGGUGCAGUGUACGGCCGACCGUCAUCCUCAGGGACACGGCCAUCCGCUCUGAUGGUCCCUCUUCUGUCCGACGCCUUGAUUCUGCACUGUCAGAGUCGCCCAAGACGGCUCUGCUGCUGGCCCUCAGCCGACCCAGGCCUCCCAUCACCCGAUCCCAGAGCCACCUGACACUGUGGGAGGAGAAGAAACAGCGGAAGAAGGAGAAGUCAGGGUCCCCUGGGGAGAAGGGGGCCUUGCAGCGCUCCAAGACGCUGAUGAACCUCUUCUUCAAGGGAGGGCGGCAGGGGCGGCCAGCAGGGGACGGGCAUAGAGAGGCCUGGACACUGGACAGCAGAAGCCCCACCAAAGUCCGCCCUCGCCUGGACCUGGAGAAAGGUAGGCGCUGGAAUCCAUCCAGCAGUUCCAGGUUGAAAUCUCACCCUACCCCGCCACUCACCCUCACAAGUAAAACGGAAGGGUUAAAACUCAUUUCUUGCCAGGCAUGGUUGAGCACGCCUUUAAUCUCAGCACUGGGGAGGCAGAGGCAGGCGGAUCUCUGAGUUCGAGGCCAGCCUGGUCUAUAGGGUGAGAUCCAGGACAGUCAGGGCAACACAGAGAAACCCUGUCUCAAAAAAAAAAAAAAAUCUGUAGAACUCGUUUCUUUGGGCAUAUAGAAAAUCAGAGAAUGAGUGACUGUAAGUCAGCACCUUGUCUAGGUCCUACAAGGUGCUCCGGAAGUCGGGUGGCCAUUGUCAUCCUGUCAUCUUCCAUCUCCUCAGAAAGGUGAAAUGACAGACUCAGGCACAGCAAGAAGUGACUGAGCUCAGUUUGGAGUCCCGUGCUUUGGUGGUGGUGGCGAUGGAAGUACCUUUGCUAGGGCUCCUGGCUUCACACCCUCCAUCCAGAGCUCCACAGGCCCAACCCCGUUCUAGAACUGUCCCCAAGGAAAGCCACUGCUCAGUCAGGGCUCAGACGGAAAGGACUCAAACGGAGACACCGUCCCCAUCCCAUUAGUCAUGAUGAUUGACCCUUCAGGCCCCAGGCCUGCUAGGCAAGCACUGUUCCGCGGGUUCCAGCCCCAGCCCCAGGCAGUUUUCCUAAGGACCUGUCAGCCCUGUCGAGGCUCCAGGCCCAACAUGGAUGAGGGAAAACUCACAAUUGCAUGGGACAGAAACUCGAGUCCAGUUGGCUUUAGAGUGCUUCUAGGCUCAGCUCCUGACGUUAGCCCAUCUGAAGGAACAAUACCUAAGCAGACAUAUCUCCCUCAGGCAUGUGCCUCCACCUUAGAAGGCUUUGCCAACUUGAAGGUGAGAUGGCCAUUGUCCCUUAGCGCCCCUGGACAGGAGGGAGUUUUUGUUGUUUGGGCUUGUUUUAUAUUAUUAUUGGUUUUUCAAGACAGGGUUUCUCUGUGUAACAGCCCUGGCUGUCCUGGAACUCACUUUGUAGACCACGGUGUCCUUCAACUCCCAGAGAUCCACCUGUCUCUGGCUCCCAAGUGUUGGAAUUAAAGGCGUGCGCCACCACACCUGACCUACAGGGAGAUUUGUAAACAGUUCCAGCUGAAGGGUCAGCCAGGGCUCUCUCUGCCUCCUGGGGUCAUCUGUCAUGCUGAGCAGACCACUGUGACGUGAGUGGAAGAACAAGACAGGAGCUCCCGGUAGAUAGGUGAUUUUGCUGCUCACCCUGGGCCAUGUGCCCAGCCGAGAAUGGAGGGGGUCACCCAGGAGAUAAGCAGGGUGCUGCUUCCAGAAGUGGGAGCGAGCAUCGGGUAGGUGGAAGCAAGCAGAGGAUGAGAAGCUGGAUGUUGCUCCGCCUUAGAGCCAAGUGUCCAGAGGCCUCAGGGUGACUGUCCAGUCGAGGCAGAGGCAGCCCUCGCCUCACCUCUUUCUCUUCUCACAGUUCCCAGGUUGUUUUCUCACGGUUCUCAGCCCACCUCUCUGGCCCCUCCCCUCUCUGUUUCCAAGGCUCCUCCUUCCCCCUCUGUCUCUGCAAGGUAGGUACCACCAAGCUCUGUCCUUGGGGUUCUUCCCUGCCUUCCUUUCCAAAUGAAUCUCCGUAAGCAGUGUGUUCAUACUGCCUCCUCUCCUGGCCCACCACCUUCACUGACCUCUCCCCCGCUCCCACUGCCCAUGAAUGAAGUCCCUAACUGGGCCUGACCUUGAAGGCCCACAAAGGCACUUGUACCCACCCUGACUACUUCUAACGGGAACUCUGGUUCCAGCUGAACUGAACCUCUUUCUUCUUUACAGCAGGGAGCGUGGGGCCUGUGCAGAAGUUUGUCACCUGGAGACUGAGACGUGGUAAAUCCAGUAUCCCAAGGUCCCCACAGUAAAGCAACAGAUGGGGGAAUGCGGGAACAGGCUGGGGCCAGCUUAUCGACUUUGAUCGAGACUCCUCUAGAGCUGAGCCUGUGGUAUCAGGCAGAGAACAUGAACGGGAGAGGGGCCGGGCCCUGCUCUCUGCCAGGUCCGGAAGCCCCUCUGGCCAGCUGCCCAAUGUGGAUGAGCAGGUGCAGGCCUGGGAAAGUCGACGGCCCCUCAUUCAGGACCUGGCCCGGCGGCUGCUGACGGACGAUGAGGUGCUAGCAGUCACUCGACACUGCUCCCGGGUGAGUCUCUGCCCAAGGCCCAGCCCCUCAUUCCAGGCCGCUGUCCACUGGCCAGUUCCUGGGAGGUCAAUGUCAGUCAGUAAGCUCCCACGCAGGAAGAAAAGAUAGACAAUAAUUAGAAUCUAAAUUCCCCGAGUGACCAGUCAUGCAGAGCACUGUGAAAGACAGACGUGGGUAACCCAGGAGAUCUGGGAAGGCCUCUCAGAGGAGGUGACAUUUAAGCUGAGGAGAUGAGGAAGACAGAUGAUGAGUGGGAGGCUUCACAGGCAACUGACUGUCCCCCUCUAAACCCUGACUUGUCCCCCAUCUCCCUUCUAUCCCUGCGGCAGGUUUUCCUGGGCUCCCAUCUCAAUCCUCCCCCAAUACUUACACUCUUUUAUUUCCUUUCUCUUCAACCAGUUGCAGAGGGUCCCAGUGUCUGUGGGUGUCAGUUUUAGAGGACUCCCUGGGCCUAAGUGUUGGGGAGGCUGUGGCGUGCUACUCACCCCUCCAGGACAACUGGAACAUCCUUUACUAUCAUUCUCUCAGGGACCCCAAGGGUCCUGGGGUGGGUUCUCUGUAGGGAACAUGCGUUAGUGCACACUGUGGGCAAGCUGAGCCAUUUUAGAAAAUCACUUCUGCCUUCACCUGGUUCAUGAUGGGGCUGUGUGUGCAUUGUUGUGACGUGUCCAUUGGCAUGUCUAUGGUGUAUUUGGUCUGUGCAUAGCAUGCAUGUAUGUGCCCCUGUAGUAUCACUCAAAGCCUAAGAUGGGGUCAUUCACACAUCCCUUUACCAAGGGCUGGUUUACAACAGAAAUACAGAUGGAGGUUCCUGUCAAGGGCUCUGGGCUAAACUCUGUCCCUCUGUGUUCGGGAACAUUCAGUGGGCUUUGUGGUCUAGCUCCAGAGAGCUUGCAACUCUGAGCUUUGGCCACUAGGAGGGGCCCUGCACCUGUGUCUUUGGCAGACGCCUUUCCCUCAUCCCCCAUUCCCCCUCGACCUCUGCAAACCAGGACUUCGUUUCACCGUGGCUCUAUUUACCCUGUAGGCUCUACAUAAGAUCCGCAUCCAAACCAGUGCCCCACCCUAAACCUUCUGAGAUGGAGCCCGGGCCUGAGGGAUAGGCAAGGCUCCUUCGUGACCACCAAGUGCUGCCCUGAACCUGGCUUCCCGUCUCCUCUCCGAGCCAUCCUUCCACAUCCACCAGACCCAGAAUUACAAGUCAGCCCUCUUACUGCUUUACAGUUCCCUUAUGAGGCAGAACAGAGAACAAGCCGCUUUCUCCCACUUUCUCGGACUUCCACAGUGUGGCAUCUCAACCCGCUAACCCCAGCUUUCCUGGGCCACCACUCAGCUGAUACAAAUUAUAAGCUGCAUAGUUUUAGGGGGUGCUAGUCACAUAGAGCUCAACCUGUGCAGCCCUGUAGGAGGGUCUUCGUGGCCCUUGACCUUCAUUUCCUUGUUAUUCUGCAGGCCCUUGGGACAUUUUCCUCCCCAGGUCCCACGCCGCUCCUUGUCCACUCUGGAAGAGCUGGUGGACUAGCCACCGCUUCUGAGAGGCCGGUUCUGAAACUUCAGCCUUCUCUAAAACCCACGUUGCCCCACUGCAGUGGUUUACAGUUACUGCCGAAUGAGGCUCAUCUGUCCCUUGUUCUGACUUGGGUCCCCGAGGCUCUGGGAGAAGGUCUUAUUAACAUUGUGCCUCUAACAGUGGAUGCUGAAUUCAUGCUUGAGGGACAUGCACAUAUAUGGCAGCGUAUUGUUGAUAUGAGUCCCUGUAACUGUGUGUGUGGUUUAAGGACACACACACACACACUUUAUUCUUUAUCUAUUGUUAAAUAUUUAUUGAUGAUUCACUCAGA